This 377-nucleotide ribosomal RNA is filed under the name Panthera tigris tigris (Bengal tiger). RNAcentral's name for it is "partial 12S ribosomal RNA". The record is from RNAcentral. Lineage: Eukaryota; Metazoa; Chordata; Mammalia; Carnivora; Felidae.
CAAGCCUCCGCAUCCCGGUGAAAAUGCCCUCUAAAUCACCCAGUGAUCCAAAGGAGCCGGUAUCAAGUACACAACCAUUGUAGCUCAUGACACCUUGCUCAGCCACACCCCCACGGGAUACAGCAGUGAUAAAAAUUAAGCCAUGAAUGAAAGUUCGACUAAGCUAUAUUAAAUUAGGGUUGGUAAAUUUCGUGCCAGCCACCGCGGUCAUACGAUUAACCCAAACUAAUAGACCCACGGCGUAAAGCGUGUUACAGAAAAAAGUAUACUAAAGUUAAGCCUUAACUAGGCUGUAAAAAGCCACAGUUAACGUAAAAAUACAGCACGAAAGUAACUUUAAUAUUUCUGACCACACGAUAGCUAAGACCCAAACUGGA